CUCUUUUUUUUUUUUUUUUUUUUUUUUUUUUUUUGUGAAAGAGCACGCUUUAUUGGGAAGCAGACUGCUGCACAGUGACCAACAGACAGACCACCCAAUGGGCAUUUACACAUCGUACUCCAAAAGACACAGGAUGCUUUGCUAAUAAAAAUCAAUGGGAAUAGGGAUUCCUCUAGGCAACUCCCAGAACUUCAUCCCUUUCAGGGAUUGAGAAAUUUCCCAAACAUUUUCCUGAUGGCAGCCGUGGUUCACUAGAGAUACAGCCCCUCAGGGGUGCCUUCCUGUUUCUUAUAAAGAACAUUUUCUUUAGAUUUUUUGAAGUCUUCAUUUGUUACUUUCAUUCUACGUUCUCUUAAGGCCAUCAGACCAGCUUCUGUACAGAUUGCCUUGAUGUCAGCACCAGAGAGGUCAUCUUUAGCCAUGAUCAAGUCAUCCAGGGUUACAUCAUCAGCCAGCGUCAUCCUGCUUGUGUGAAUCUGAAAGAUGCGCUUCUUCGUCUUUUCAUCAGGCAGGGGGAACUCAAUCUUCCUGUCAAUGCGGCCUGGCCUGAUAAGUGCUGGAUCCAAAGUUUCUAUUCGGUUUGUGGCCAUGAUAACUUUCACAUCUCCCCUAGAAUCAAAUCCAUCCAACUGGUUCAGCAGUUCCAACAUUGUUCGCUGAAUUUCUCUCUCCCCACCAGAAUUGGAGUCAUAUCUUUUUGUCCCAAUGGCGUCAAUUUCAUCAAUAAACACGAUGGACGGUGCAUGUUCUUCAGCAACUCGAAACAAUUCCCGUACGAGUUUGGGCCCAUCACCUAGGUACUUCUGAAUAAGUUCAGAGCCAACCACUCUCAAGAAAGUGGCUGAGGUUUGGUUUGCUACAGCUUUGGCUAACAAGGUUUUACCUGUGCCAGGUGGACCAUAGAGAAUGACCCCCUUAGGAGGCUUUAUACCCAUCUCUUCAUAAUAUUCAGGAUGGGUGAGAGGAAGCUCCACAGAUUCCUUAAUUUCCUGAAUUUGGUUGUCCAACCCCCCAAUAUCCGCAUAGGUCUCCUGGGGGGCCUUUUCCACCUUCAUCACUGUGACCAGGGGAUCCGUGUCAUCCAUCAGCACCCCUAUCACGGCAUGCACCUUGUGAUUGAGCAGGACCGAGCAGCCAGGUUCCAGCAGAUCCUUGUCUACAAAUGAAAGAAUGCUGACGUAGUGUUCUGAGCCCACAGAUGUAGACACGAUGGCAUGAUUGUCAUCAAUGAUCUCUUCCAAGGUUCCUACUGACAUCGGGGUCCCCCUCAGAUCAUCCACUUUUGAUCUUUCCUCCUCUUGCUUUUCUUCUAAUGGUUUCAUUUGUUCCUGAUUUCUAAUGAAUUCUUCCUCCAUGAGAAGAUAGUCUUUAAUUCUCUCUAACUUCAGUAAUUUUAACCGGCACUGAGUGUGAGGUGUCACCAGUGGCAGUUUGCUGGCAGCGUCUGGUCCCUUCGUUUUCUUCUUCUUUUUCCCCACUCUAGUUGGUACAGGAGGUUCAUAUUUCUUUUUCUUGUCCUUGUCAUCCUUCUUGCCACCUCCAGGACCAUGACCACCACUCUGACUUUGACCCAUCUUGCCUUGGCCACUUGAGCUGCCG
RNAcentral lists this long non-coding RNA (1599 nucleotides) under Macaca fascicularis (crab-eating macaque). Its description in RNAcentral is "lncRNA (ENSMFAG00000059507.1)". The record is from RNAcentral. Lineage: Eukaryota; Metazoa; Chordata; Mammalia; Primates; Cercopithecidae.